UACGUAGGGAGCAAGCGUUGUUCGGAUUUACUGGGCGUAAAGGGCGCGUAGGCGGCAUAAUAAGUCAUCUGUGAAAUCUCCGAGCUUAACUCGGAACUGUCAGCUGAUACUGAUGUGCUAGAGUGCGGAAGGGGCAAUCGGAAUUCUUGGUGUAGCGGUGAAAUGCGUAGAUAUCAAGAGGAACACCUGAGGUGAAGACGGGUUGCUGGGCCGACACUGACGCUGAGUGCGCGAAAGCCAGGGGAGCAAACGGG
This 254-nucleotide ribosomal RNA is filed under the name uncultured bacterium. Its description in RNAcentral is "partial 16S ribosomal RNA". It matches the Rfam family "Bacterial small subunit ribosomal RNA", at positions 524 to 776 of the family's 1533-position model. The record is from RNAcentral.